This is a long non-coding RNA of Amphimedon queenslandica, 231 nucleotides long. RefSeq lists it as uncharacterized. The transcript is spliced from 3 exons. The record is from RefSeq and is a predicted model, not a curated record. NCBI's taxonomy places the organism in Eukaryota, Metazoa, Porifera, Demospongiae, Haplosclerida, Niphatidae.
AGACAAAUGGGGGAAUUACUGAUGAGGAGGCAAAGGCUAAAUAUGAUGAAAUAGUGAAGGAAGAGAGGGAGGUAAUGAAGUUAGAUCAAGAAAUUGAAGAAUUGCAACAGAAAAGGCAGAUCAAAGUGUAUCAUAUAAGAUCUUUGAGAAUAGAAAUGGGAAUGAAUGGUAGAAUAGGGCCACCUAUGCCACCUUCAAAAAAAAGAAGAAUAGGGAAAUGAAUAGACAUUA